GGCGUAAAAAGUCGUGACAGUGUUUCUCCUUCAAUUUCAGCUUUGCUAUACCGAUUUUCAGUGUAUUGUGUAAUAACUUAUCGUUGGUAUUAGCUACCACUUCGUGUCUUAAUUUAGGUAUAUCACUUUGUGAAUCUAAAACAGUUUUAAACUGUUAUUUUCAUUUUAAGUGAAGGUAAAAUUAACAAUUUUUAAACUGUUUGAGCUCAAUUAUACUUCUCGAAAAAAGAAGGUAAUGUUGUUUAAGUUAAAAUGGUAUAUGAGGACUUUUAUCAAAUCUGCCUCAUACAAAGUGCCUUGGCAACAAUUGAUUUUUUUUCUUUUCAGUUUAUCUGUGAAACAUUUGAGUGCAUCACAAGUGGUUUCAAACGUAACUAUGGGGCGUAUGUCUCCUGACCGCUUAGCGGUCUAACCCAAAGAAGCGCCUUGCGCCUUCGGCUCUAUGCGUUACGCCUUACUCUUAUGCUUUUAUAUUACAAGGUAUGAUUAGCUCACUGAAUGAAUAACUCAUGAGGUAUUGCUGCAAAAUAUAUAUUCUAUUUAUUAAUUAAUCAGUCUUGAAUUAAAUAAGUACAAAAGUAUAAAAACUUAAAGUAGGGUGUUAUUACUAGUUCUUAGCGCGUUAUGAUGAGAUUCAGACUUGAUGACUUGGAGGAAUCAUUGUUGGUUACCAUUCUUGUGGUAAAUGACAACGUUCUUGAAGAAAGCGUUGCUGACGUUGUUGUUCCACUCAGCGGUGUUGACGGGGCGGUCGAAGGGGAAUCCAAGAGGGCGGUUGUCGAACACCUUCUUGUUGGAGCAAGUCAGGUAGUUGUCCACCUGGUUGUUGUUGUUGUUGUUGUUGUUGUUGUUAUUGUUGUUUCCGUUGCCGUUGAUGAGAUCGCAGUUCUGGCAGUUCUGGCAGUUGGGAGAGUUGGGAGUGUUUUCACAGUUGUUGAACUGGCAUUGGGUUGGGCAGUUACUGUAGUUGGCCUGAACUUGGAAGUUGUCUUGUCCUAUAAUUUUUGCAUAAAUAUUGCGGCAUUAGCAUCAAAUUUGACUCAUUGA
RNAcentral lists this long non-coding RNA (1047 nucleotides) under Bemisia tabaci. RNAcentral's name for it is "lncRNA ENSSSA2NGG003507". Lineage: Eukaryota; Metazoa; Arthropoda; Insecta; Hemiptera; Aleyrodidae. The record is from RNAcentral.